Molecule: ribosomal RNA, 253 nt
Filed under: uncultured bacterium
Lineage: Bacteria
Description: partial 16S ribosomal RNA
Rfam family: Bacterial small subunit ribosomal RNA
Source: RNAcentral
UACGUAGGGUGCAAGCGUUGUCCGGAAUUAUUGGGCGUAAAGAGCUCGUAGGCGGUUUGUCGCGUCUGCUGUGAAAACUCGGGGCUUAACCCCGGGCCUGCAGUGGGUACGGGCAGACUAGAGUGCGGUAGGGGAGACUGGAAUUCCUGGUGUAGCGGUGAAAUGCGCAGAUAUCAGGAGGAACACCGGCGGCGAAGGCGGCCAACUGGACGAAUACUGACGCUGAGACUCGAAAGCGUGGGGAGCAAACAGG